Molecule: long non-coding RNA, 415 nt
Organism: Mus musculus (house mouse)
Lineage: Eukaryota; Metazoa; Chordata; Mammalia; Rodentia; Muridae
Product: predicted gene, 31573
Exons: 3
Source: RefSeq, a predicted model, not a curated record
UUCCAAACAGUGAACUACACUGCCCUCUGGAUGAACAGCUGCCAUAGAGGAAAGGACCUUGCCCACACAGAAGACUGUCUGAUGGUUGUUUAUCCCAGAUAUUCAGCCCCAGUGAUGUUCCUAACUCAACACGGGCCACCUCUGCGCUUGCUUGCAUAGAAUCUGGACCCAACCCAAACCAGGCUUGCCAUCUCAUCCCCGAGCCACAAAGCCAAGCAGGCUUCCCUGAGCAUCCAUCCUCUGCCGAAAUACGGUGAUUGCUGGCAAUGCUGCUUCCCAUAACUAAAACCAGGACCGUUUCUGUCAGUGGCAUGGGCUGCUGCUAGAAGUCCCAGCCAUGGAGGACAGACUAGAGUUCCAUUAAUGCCACCCCCUCCUCCUCCCCUGGAUCAUUGAGGAGGCUCUACACUCAAGG